GGGGGGUGAGCUGUACAGUACCAGCUUAGUGUAGCAUAUCUUUCUGUGACUUAAUACGCUUCCUGUGUACCACAUACCGCAAAUCUCAACAGUGUCCAUAGGUCAUGUCAAUGAUUUAAAAAAAAAAAAAAAAAACUGUCAAAAAAGGAAAACUUCUUUAAAAAGUUGUAUCGUAAGAACUCAUAACGUAGGAGGUUUGAGUCGCUGCUGUGCUGUGCAGUACUGGUUCCAAAAACUCAUUCGUUUUCCCAGAGGUUGUAUUUUUAGCAGAGGCUCAUGGGUAAAAGUUGCGGGGCGUUUUUUUUUUUUUUCCUCAUUGUUCAUUGGUGAUUGCCUGUUUGUGUGCGCUGUUUUUAGACCCAGGAAGGGAUGGAAGUUGCGUAACUAUGGCGUUGACCUGUGACCUUUUUUUUUGUUUGUUUUGGAUACUGCUGCGCAAUGUGCUAAGCCCUACGGAAAAGGGACCCUGAUUACAAUGACCCUAAAAUAAUUAUAACAUGAUUACCAACAUGUGACGUCACUUUAUUCACAGGAAGGAGAUGCUGGUUAGAGGCUGGGGUUACUUGAAGUGUGUUUCUGCUCUCUCUGUCUGGCUCUCUCUUCUCAUUGGGCAAUGUCCAACGGCAGAGUUGGGAUACUGUGUGCUUCGAAGUGCGUUGUUGUAGUAGACCCAUGGCAUUGGAUAACACGAUACUGUUUGUGACGAAGGGAAUAGCGUUAAUGUCAACUGUGAGGGUAACCCUAUUGUCAGGUCGAGAGAUUCGGGGUGGAGGACAAGUGACAUUGUGCUGCUACUACCAGCCUUGUACGCUUUUUUUUUUUUUCCCCUCCUUUUUGUUUUGAUUUCACUUUUACAAGAAGUGCACCAAUCAGCACUUUCAGUUUGUUCACAUUGGCCUUUCAGUGUUUAGUUGGUUUGUUUUUGUUUUGAUGUGCUUUAAUUGUGAUGCUCCAUUACCUAACUGUACAGCUUAAGAGUAUGCUCUAAGAGGUAUUCAGCUUACGAGUAUGCUCUAAGAGGUAUCAGCUUAAGAGUAUGCUCUAAGGGGUAUCAGCUUAAGAGUAUGCGCUAAGAGGUAUCAUCUUAAGAGUAUGCUCUAAGAGGUAUUCAGCUUACGAGUAUGCUCUAAGGGGUAUCAUCUUAAGAGUAUGCUCUAAGAAGUAUUCAGCUUAAGAGUAUGCUCUAAGAAGUAUUCAGCUUAAGAGUAUGCUCUAAGAAGUAUUCAUCUUAAGAGUAUGCGCUAAGAGGUAUCAUCUUAAGAGUAUGUUCUAAGAGGUAUUCAUAGAAAACAAGAGGCACUUUCGUUAAACCAUUGAUAUUUCCCCCCCCCAUGAAGAAUUGCAUUUUGGGGGAAUCAAAAUGAAAAUAUCUAGACAUUUUAGUAUAGGUAUGGUGAAAUAUCAUCUAAUGCAGACGGAAAAAGUUUGUUCCCCUUUAAAGUUGCAGGACGGCAGAACUCCCCUCUUGUUGUAUUGCAGCCUAGUUAUAUCCAUGCCUUUUGAGUACAAGCAUCAUGUCAUGGACUCCAUAGCAUAUACCAAAUUAACAAGGUUUUGAGCUGCCAAACAGAUCCAUUCCCAAGGCCCCCUAGAGGUUUCAAGUAUUAACCUUGACCUAGCCGCAGUGUCAGAGAUCGGAGAGAGGAGAAAUCUAGCCAAAUGAUUAAGCUUGACCUAGCAGCAGUAUCAGAUCGGAGAAAUCUAGCCAAAUUCUAUUUGCUGACUUGUCAGUGUUGCCAUAAUGGGUUUGUUUCACAUACACACCAUUCACUCCCAGUCUUAAUUUAGCCACCCACACAGUAUUGAGAGUAAGCAUAGAUGUACUACACUUUUUAAGUUGUCUCUUAAUGUCUUGUUUAUGCGUGCACCAUAUGUACAUCUUGUAUUCUGUUUGAUGUGUGUGUGUGUGUGUGUGUGUGUGUGUGUGUGCGUGCGUGUGUGUGCGUGCGUGCGUGUGUGAGUGAGUCAGAGAAAGGGACAGUGGUUAGUGUCAAGAGCCUCUUGUGGCCGUCCUGUCAUACUGGUGACAGGCCGUAGAGUUGGAAAAAAAAGGGUGAAAUGGCCACACCAGCUCCACUGAACGAUGAUUUUUUUUAUUGUGUAUUCAUUUCACAUUCCUUUGAGAAAAACUGUUUACUAAAUCUUGCAACUGGACAAAACUAGUUUCUGUUUUUGUGUAAUGUAUGUUUUGUGUCAGUGUAAAAUGUCACCACAAGCAUUGGAUUGAAGUAUACGCUCCCUCUGAAUAAAAACUAUCAUACACGAUAUGGCUUGGGUAGAAUGAAUGUCCUCGCCCAGUUUUAUAAAAUUAUAUAUAUUCAUGAAUAGAGGUUUUUUGGCUAUAUUACUUAGCCUUGUAAUAGCAUUGUGUAAACAGAAUGAUGCGUGUCCGAUUGUACAUAUUAGAUGGCAACAAAUCCAACUGUCAUUCUAUUGUUAGUGUCAACACAAUGCCUGUAACAUAUUGCUUCUGAAUGUUUGUGACUGUAGGAAACAUUUUUGUACAUUUCUUUUAUCUGUACGAUUUUUCAUUUGACCUACUUCUGAGAUGUUUUUUUUCUUCAGAAUUCUUAAUUUAUUCUGAGAGUACUUUUAAGUAACAUUCCACAGAUUUAGUCGGUUAUUCAGCCUUGCCUGGUUUGACUUCAAUAAAACUGUUCUGAAUGUU
This is a long non-coding RNA of Clupea harengus (Atlantic herring), 2668 nucleotides long. NCBI's taxonomy places the organism in Eukaryota, Metazoa, Chordata, Actinopteri, Clupeiformes, Clupeidae. The record is from Ensembl.